ACGAGAGCUCGGCUGCGUUCCGGGACUGGCGUAAUUGGCAGGCUCCAGGCAAGAGCGCUCAUGCUGACUGGCGCCUUUGCCGGGACUUGAAAGCAGGGGAGGGGAUGUGCCUUUCUCCUUGAGAGGAGAACAAAUGUUCCCUUUGAAGAAGUUUGCGGCCCAGGCUGGAGUGCAGUGGCGCAAUCACAGCUCACCGCAGCCUUGACCUCCCAGGUUCAAGCAAUCCUCCCACCUCAGCCUCCCGAGCAGAUGAGCUACAGGCCCACACCACCAUGCCUGGCAAAUUCAGCCAUUGUUAAGUGUGCUUUUCAGUGGCAUUAAGGACAUUCACAAUGUUGUGCAACCGUCACCACCAUCUACUUCCAGAAUCUUUUCAAUUUGUCAAAACACACCUUGUACCUGUAAGCUGUCACUCCCAAUUCCCCCUUCCCCCAGCCCCUGGCAACCAUCAAUCUCCUUGUUGUCUCUGUGGCUUUGCGAUUUCUGACAUUUCAUGAAAGUGGAAUCAUAAGUGCCCUUCGUGUCCCGCCUCUUCCACAGAGCGUUGAGUUUUCAAGGUUCAUCCCUGUUGUAGCAGGAAUCCGUGCUUCACUUAGGCUGCAAGGGCGUACCAUGGCAUGGAGGCACCUAUGGGUGGACGGCGUUUCGUUGAUCUGUCCUGGGCUGAGGGCAUCGGGCUGGACGCCCCAGCCUGGCUCCUGUAUCCUGUUGAAGAGGCGUUGAAUCUUGCUGCUCUCAAGAUGCACACGUACAGCUUUGGCCGAUCCCGUUUUCAGUUGCAACUGUCUCCCGAAGUCACGGAUUCCCCCUUGGUCUUUGGUGUGUGGGGAGGGCUACAAAUCCUCCCCAAGAAUGCCCACCCUGCCCCUGACUGGGGCAGAUUCUGGUUAUCCAUAGGAGGCCCCUCCUGCCAGGACAGAGCGCAUCCUCUCCGCCUCCUGACCUCCCUCCCCCGUCCUGGGCCGGAGCAGCCAAGCCCUGAGCUGGUGAAGCAACUCGAGCUCUUUGCAGGAGUGGCCGGGUGUGAGCAUAUGCGUGGCCUCCCAAGUCUCCAGCUAGCCCCCCUGCCACACUACUAAAUAUUUUAGCAAAUAAAAAUUUUUUAAACGUG
Symphalangus syndactylus (siamang) is the source of this 1111-nucleotide long non-coding RNA. RefSeq lists it as uncharacterized. NCBI's taxonomy places the organism in Eukaryota, Metazoa, Chordata, Mammalia, Primates, Hylobatidae. The record is from RefSeq and is a predicted model, not a curated record.